CCUUUAAGUUUGGGGUAGCUUUGCAGUACGUGAAUAGUAAGUGAAUGUCGUAUAAAAGAAAAAAAAAACAACAUGAAAAGAAAGAAAGAGAAAAGCGAAAAACAAUAAAAAUAGCUUUUGAAAAAUGCUACAUUCACUAUAGAAAAAGGAAAAGAGGAUUACAAAACCCUACAGGAAUAAUAGGAAAGAAACGUAGUGAGAGAAUGAUUUCAUAUACUCUGAACCAAAAUGAUUACAAAACCCUACAGGAAUAAUAGGAAAGAAACGUAGUGAGAGAAUGAUUUCAUAUACUCUGAACCAAAAAAA
This 306-nucleotide long non-coding RNA is filed under the name Lathyrus oleraceus (garden pea). RNAcentral's name for it is "Pisum sativum (pea) long non-coding RNA (PSAT_LNC009274)". Lineage: Eukaryota; Viridiplantae; Streptophyta; Magnoliopsida; Fabales; Fabaceae. The record is from RNAcentral.